Phyllostomus discolor (pale spear-nosed bat) is the source of this 1113-nucleotide long non-coding RNA. RefSeq lists it as uncharacterized. The record is from RefSeq and is a predicted model, not a curated record. The transcript has 3 exons. NCBI's taxonomy places the organism in Eukaryota, Metazoa, Chordata, Mammalia, Chiroptera, Phyllostomidae.
ACUUGGAACCGUCACUGGAUUUCAGGGACAAGCCCUUGGAAAAUGAUCAUUAAAAUGCUAAGGGCCAAGCAUCCCUGGAAAGCAGGCGCCAGCGCGCUUCUGAGUAGUUUACAUCUAUCUGUUGACUCAUCAAAGCCUCAUCGGGAAAAUGCAAUUAGCCCUGUUCUAUAAAUGAGGAAACUGAGGCACAGAGAGGUUCCCUGAGUUAACACCCUUGCAACCCUUGGAGCUGAAACAACCAGAAGUCGGGGGCGGUCCACCACCACCGAGCAUGCCCAGGAAACGUUUGCUGAAUGAGUGCCCCUUAUCUCAGUUCCUAAAAACAGCUCAUUAGACCACACAGGAAUCGAGGUCCCGCGUGUUGAGUGCCAGGUGUGGGUGCUUUGCUGGGCCUCCUGGGGAAGGCUAGACAACACACCAGCCCCAGCGCUCCCCACGCCCACCUCGGGGGUUGCCUAGCAGGGCAGCUCGAGGUCGAGAGAUUCUUGCUGCAGACUCCAGAAGGGGCGCAGGUGAGGCGAGAAGCCAGUGCUUAACUGAAGCUGAGGGUGAGGACGGUUUGUAAUAAGGCGCAUUAGCGCUCCAGGCGGCCCCGAAAGACGUGGGGCCGCUACUCAAGCUCACGGCUACUGAAGGCCCUUUGCAGACGCGCCGGCCUAGGUGUGGCACCGGCUUCCAAAACUAGACUGUGCCGGCUCUGGUUUGGGACGGGCACACCCGGCUCCGAGGGAAAGGGCUCGCCCCGUAAGCCUGCAUCGCCUGGGAGAUGGUUCUGGAGCCUUCCAUGGUGAGCCCGAGGGUCCACUGAAGGGGACCAAGAACCAGCAGCGAUAGGUCUCACGGGGUUCGGCGAGGAAAGACACUGGGCUGUUCCGAGCACAGCGACCUAGAUGGAGACGGGCCUUGACUCAGGCCGGCUUGGGUCCGGUCACGCUAACAGGGAGGCCUUGGGCACCCUUCCCCGGAGGAUGGCGUAGGCUCUGGCCUGGCCGCCGCAGUGACAAGCCAGGGAAGGGGCGAAUCUUCAAAGGGAGCCAGCAGAGCAAACACCAUAUGGCAAACACCCUUCUGAGACAUUGCACACACAGCGGUAGAGUCGGAGGAACGAUUAUG